UGAGACAUAAGUUAAAUAAACUAUAUGAUUCAUGAUCAUAAAAUACUUUUUAAGUUGUCUUAA
RNAcentral lists this transfer RNA (63 nucleotides) under Polylabroides guangdongensis. RNAcentral describes it as "tRNA-Met". The record is from RNAcentral. Lineage: Eukaryota; Metazoa; Platyhelminthes; Monogenea; Mazocraeidea; Microcotylidae.